AAGAGUAGCUGCUGCUUUUGCAACAGCUAAUGGGGAUCCUAAUAAAAUACCAAAUACCAGUCCAUGCUGCUGAAAAGCGCCCCCAUAACAUGACGCUACCACCACCAUGCUUCACGGUAGGGUUGGUGUUAGACGGGUGAUGAGCUGUGCCUGGUUUUCAGACAUAGCGCUUUGUAUUCAGGCCAAAGAGUUACAUUUUUGUCUCAUCAGACCGCAGAAUAUUUUGCCUUAUGCUAUCAGAGUCUUUCACGUGCUUUUUUGCAAACACCAGGCCUGCUGUCAUGUGCCUUUUUCUCAGGAGUGGCUUCCGUCUGGCCACUCUCGCAUAAAGCCCAGAUUGGUGAAGUGCUGUAAGACUGUGGUCCUUCUGGCAGGUUCUCCCAUCUCAGCCAAGGAACUCUGUAGUUCUGUCAGAGCGGGUUCUUGGUCACCUCUCAAGGUCCUUCUUGCCCAGUUGCUCAGAUUGGUCAGGUAGUUGGUCUGGGUAGUUCCAUAUUUUUUCCAUUUCCCAAUGAUGGAUACCACUCUUAGAAACUUUCAACACUAUAAAAAGUUUUAUACCCUUCCCCUGGUAUAUGCCUCAUCACAAUUCUAUAUUGGAGAUCUACAGACAGUUCAUUGGACUUCAUGGUAUAGUUUCUGCUCUGAAAUGCACUGUCCACUGUGGGACCUUAUAAAGACGUGUGUUUUAAAACAUUUCCAAACAAUUGAAUUGGCCACAGUUGUGGUGACGUCUCAAGGGAUGAUCGAAGGAAGUUGGAUGCACCUGAGCUCAAUUUGGAGUGUCAUAGCAAAGAGGUGUGAAUACUUAUUUAAAUGAGAUAUUUCUGUAUUUUAUUUUCAAUACAUUUACAAGUAUUUCUGUUUACAUUAUAGGGAAUAGGGUGCCAUUUGGGAUGCAGACAGGGUUUGUAUAAUAGUGGCAAUUGCUGCUGACUCAUGCAACCAGAUACUGUAUAUAGUAGAGCUCAACAACAAAUUCAAAUCUAACGUUCAAUAACAAAGUAACCAAGUCAAUAACAAGUUCUAAUCUGACGUUCAAUAACAAAGUAACCAAGUCAAUAACAAGUUCUAAUCUGACGUUCAAUAACAAAUUCUAAUCUGACGUUCAAUAACAAAGUAACCAACUCAAUAACAAGUUCUAAUCUGACGUUCAAUAACAAAGUAACCAACUCAAUAACAAG
Molecule: long non-coding RNA, 1184 nt
Filed under: Salmo salar (Atlantic salmon)
Lineage: Eukaryota; Metazoa; Chordata; Actinopteri; Salmoniformes; Salmonidae
Description: lncRNA (ENSSSAG00000105765.1)
Source: RNAcentral